AAUGCUUUUCCAUUGGACGACUAUGCAACUUGCACGUGUAAUGUGUUGCACAAAAUUGACUCACUGCGGCAUUUACCAUCAACACGUAGUAAGGAAACAGCGGAAAUAGCCAUUUUGAUUUCAAUUUUCAGGCACGUCUUUUGUUCGAGAAUUGGCUCCGAUCAUUGAAUUUGUUUGAAGCAACUAAUCAUGGCUGAUGAAGAACCGAAGGCUGCUGGUCACAGCCCAGCUGUGAAAGUUGGAGGUGCCCGCGUGGUACAGAAGAAGCCUCACAGGGACAGUGAGGGUGAGAGCAAGGAGCCUGCUGCUGUGGACUCGACACAGGCAGUGGGGAUGUUUUCACAGAGCCCGCCGAAGCUGACGGUGACCUCCGGGCAGCCGGUGCCGGACGGCAACAGCCGGGAGUUCCCCACUGAAGCCGUCAACACAUCCACGAGAAGCCCAAGCCGACGCACAUCCAGCCGCGGCCGUCACAGCAGGGCCACUUUAUCCACCAGCCCACCAAGCAGUGAGCGGCCGAUCUUGCCCUUUGAGCUCCGGCCGGCCGGUCACCGGCCGCCGGGCGCGACACGACCCUUCGCCGAAACGCGGCCCGAAGCAUGGCUUUGCUCUCUUGGUUUCAGAGGUGUUCUCAACGUGUGGGCUGCCUGUGAGCUUUAUUCUCCGAAUGUGAGGACCGGUGAAUAUGGAAUGGUAUAAUAAGUAGUGGUUAGUGGGUAUAAAGAGUGCGGCGAUUAUUCUUUGGAUAUUUUUUUAUUGUGGUGUUGGCUCUACUUCCAACUUGUGUCUUUGGGUAUUGUCUUUUGUGUUUGGGAUUGCAGAACUGCUAAACUUUGAAGCUCACAAGGGCAGACUCGGAUUUCACUUGAAAGCUCCUGAACACCAUUUCGAAGUUGUUCAUCUAUCGCUUUACCCACAGGGUUUGUCAUUGGAUAUCCACUGCCUCUCAUAAUAGUUUAUAAAAUAGCAAUAGUUGAGUUGGACGGUUCAUGAUAUGUUGCGGUGUAUUCAUUCCGGAGAACUAAGAUCUGUCCAUGUCUACACGGGUCAGAGUCUGAGAACAGCCAUACGGCGCUCCGAGCGUCCCCCAUCUCCUGGUGCCGCCCUCUCCCCGCUGCCGGCCACGUUGACUGUUUGUCUCCGGCCGAAGGGAGCGCCAUGGGCGGGGGCCCAAUUCUUCGGGUCGUCAGACGGCCUUUGGGAACCAAUUGUCUCUGCGCAUGGCGAGGGGUCGCGGGCCCGCGGGGCGGGGCCUGGUCCCGCCCCUGCGAGGCGGUUUGUGUCAAUAAAGACGGUAAAAUUCC
This is a long non-coding RNA of Amphibalanus amphitrite, 1304 nucleotides long. RefSeq lists it as uncharacterized. NCBI's taxonomy places the organism in Eukaryota, Metazoa, Arthropoda, Thecostraca, Balanomorpha, Balanidae. The record is from RefSeq and is a predicted model, not a curated record. The transcript is spliced from 4 exons.